CCUAUCUCCUCACAUUUUCUUGCAGGAAAGAAUCAUAAACUGCAGAGACCGAAGCACUUCAGACAAAUGAGUAACUCAGCAGUCCUGGGCUUCAGAAGGCCAAACUCUAAACCCAGAUGCUUCUCAUAAAGUUCAUUUUUCGUUCCUCUCCCCAUGCAUUUCUGUGAAGACUGUCUUGAGAGGUGCAGUAACGGUAAUAGGAAGCACUCCUUAGGAUUGUACAGUUGAUUGCCCAGGGGAAGAAAGUGACAACCUCCAGAUUUCCAGGAGACCUUGUAUUUGCAGAGAUAGGGGUUCAAGGGAGGACAGCCAACUUGUCAAAAUCUGAAGAGCUGAGGCCCAAGCUGAAGCUUUCUCACACCUAAUCCCCCAGCAGUACCAUGGCCUCCUUGCUGUCCCACAAACAAGACAUUCCAUCUUCUGACUCUGGACAUUUUCUCUAGCUGUCUCCCAG
Molecule: long non-coding RNA, 454 nt
Filed under: Monodelphis domestica (gray short-tailed opossum)
Lineage: Eukaryota; Metazoa; Chordata; Mammalia; Didelphimorphia; Didelphidae
Description: lncRNA (ENSMODG00000041111.1)
Source: RNAcentral